RNAcentral lists this unclassified non-coding RNA (446 nucleotides) under Hevea brasiliensis (rubber tree). The record is from RNAcentral. Lineage: Eukaryota; Viridiplantae; Streptophyta; Magnoliopsida; Malpighiales; Euphorbiaceae.
UUCCCAAUCAAGUUGAACAUUUGGUAUGUGAGAAAUGAAAUGCCAAUUUUCACCUUUUUUAUUUGCACAUCUUUCGUUUAACAGGGGACAACCAACAAUUUUCAAUUCUUGUAGAGAGGUGAGGGAACGCAUCUCCUGAGGAAAAGACGUUAAUCUUGGGCAAUCAAAUAUCUGUAAUUGCUGAAGGGAAGUGAGAUUCUGCAGUCCAUCUGGCGGUAGAGAUUCAAGUUCCUCAACGGUGUUAAUGGAGAGAUUCUUCAAUUUAGACAGAGGAGGAACGAUAGACAAAGAAGAAGAAGAGAUUGAUGUUGUGAAUAUUUGUUGCACAAGUUGCGCACUUACAUAAAACAAUUCUAAUUCUUCAUCGAGAGAUGGAAGCUGAGGGAUCCAACUCAAAUUAGGACAAUAAUUACAAAUGAACUGAGAAAGACGAGGAAAUUGGAGUA